This 397-nucleotide ribosomal RNA is filed under the name uncultured bacterium. Its description in RNAcentral is "partial 16S ribosomal RNA". It matches the Rfam family "Bacterial small subunit ribosomal RNA", at positions 523 to 918 of the family's 1533-position model. The record is from RNAcentral.
AUACGUAGGGGGCGAGCGUUGUCCGGAAUGAUUGGGCGUAAAGGGCGCGUAGGCGGCGCGGUAAGUCUGGAGUGAAAGUCCUGCUUUCAAGGUGGGAAUUGCUUUGGAUACUGCCGCGCUUGAGUGCAGGAGAGGUUAUCGGAAUUCCCGGUGUAGCGGUGAAAUGCGUAGAGAUCGGGAGGAACACCAGUGGCGAAGGCGGGUAACUGGACUGCAACUGACGCUGAGGCGCGAAAGUGUGGGGAGCAAACAGGAUUAGAUACCCUGGUAGUCCUCACUGUAAACGAUGAAUGCUAGGUGUAAGAGGUAUCGACCCCUUUUGUGCCGGAGUCAACACAAUAAGCAUUCCGCCUGGGGAGUACGGCCGCAAGGUUGAAACUCAAAUGAAUUGACGGGG